This 458-nucleotide ribosomal RNA is filed under the name uncultured bacterium. RNAcentral's name for it is "SSU rRNA". It matches the Rfam family "Bacterial small subunit ribosomal RNA", at positions 26 to 518 of the family's 1533-position model. The record is from RNAcentral.
AGAAUCAACGCUGGCGGCGCGCCUUACACAUGCAAGUCGAACGAGAAAGUCCGCAAGGAUGAGUAAAGUGGCGUACGGGUGGGUAACACGUGGAUAAUCUACCUCUUUGUGGGGAAUACCGCUGGGAAACCGGUGACAAUACCGCAUAAGCUCGAGAGAGGAAAGCCGAAAGGCGCUGAGAGAGGAGUCCGCGGCCGAUUAGCUAGUUGGUAGGGUAAUGGCCUACCAAGGCGACGAUCGGUAGCCGGCCUGAGAGGGCACACGGCCACACUGGCACUGAAACACGGGCCAGACUCCUACGGGAGGCAGCAGUGGGGAAUCUUGCACAAUGGGGGAAACCCUGAUGCAGCGACGCCGCGUGAGCGAUGAAGCCCCCUGGGGUGUAAAGCUCUUUCGGCAGGGAAGAUUAUGACGGUACCUGCAGAAGCAGCUGCGGCUAACUACGCGCCAGCAGCCGC